This is a non-coding RNA of Ameiurus melas (black bullhead), 74 nucleotides long. Lineage: Eukaryota; Metazoa; Chordata; Actinopteri; Siluriformes; Ictaluridae. The record is from the annotation of a GenBank genome assembly.
GGAAGUGGUAGCUCAGUGGUUAGGAUGUUGGACUACUGAUCAGAAGGUUAUGGUUACAAAUCCCAGCACUGUCA